GACUGUUUACCAAAAACAUAGCCCUUUCAUAAAUAAAAGGUGUGACCUGCCCAGUGAUCAUAAAGUAAAGAAAUAAAAAUUCAUAAAUAUGAUUAAAAGGACGCGGUAUUCUGACCGUGGUAAUGUAGCGUAAUCACUCGCCACUUAAUUAGUGGAUAGUAUGAAUGGUUAAACGAAUAUAACCCUGUCUCUAAUAGAAAAUUUAUAAAAUUGGAAUCCUAGUUAAGAUACUACGUAAAAUUGUAAGACGAAAAGACCCUAUAGAGCUUAACUAUAUUCUGAAAUAGAACCAACUAAAUUUAUUUAGUUAUACUUUCAGAUUGGUAGUUUAGUUGGGGCGACUGUCUUUUAAAAUAAACAAAGACAAGCAAUAUUAAAAAUUUAAUUUACUGUAUAAAUAAUAAUUUUAACAGUUAUAAAAAUAGGCUUUAAUGACCCGUUUUUUUAUUAAAUAUUAAAAAACGAUCAAUAAAUAAAAGCUACCUUAGGGAUAACAGGAUAAUUUCAUUUCGGAGUCCAUAUCCUCGAUGAAGUUUGUCACCUCGAUGUUGAAUUAAG
Molecule: ribosomal RNA, 558 nt
Filed under: Cladonema digitatum
Lineage: Eukaryota; Metazoa; Cnidaria; Hydrozoa; Anthoathecata; Cladonematidae
Description: Cladonema sp. d SL-2021 partial large subunit ribosomal RNA
Rfam family: Bacterial large subunit ribosomal RNA
Source: RNAcentral